This 18-nucleotide small nuclear RNA is filed under the name Arabidopsis thaliana (thale cress). Its description in RNAcentral is "snRNA_09263". The record is from RNAcentral. Lineage: Eukaryota; Viridiplantae; Streptophyta; Magnoliopsida; Brassicales; Brassicaceae.
CGCAUCAGGUCUCCAAGG